UUUGGUGCAUCCUGCAUGUUGCUUUCCACCUUGACUUAGGAAAUGUGUUAUAUCUAUGCUAACUUUCUUCUAUGCUUCUGCAUCCAGGUACGUACAAGACAAAACUCUUUGCUCCAAUGAAAUCAGAGGUGGAGGAAAAACCAAGAAGCAAACGAAUUCAUCAAAAAAUGCAAAUUGAGGGUCCCCACUCAUUUGACAUUAUUCCCUUAUUGUGUAACUUGGCUAAUGUAAAAAAAUAUAUGUGGCUUAAGCCUUCCUUAUUUUUCUUUAGUGGUGUAAAAAAAGGUAGAAUAAAAAUGUAAUUUAUUUUUGAACUUUAAAUGUAAAAAAACAAAAUAUGUGUAAAAUAAAGUGUUAAUUAGAAGCAAAAUAUGAAUUUAAAUGUAAAAUAAAAA
This 395-nucleotide long non-coding RNA is filed under the name Lathyrus oleraceus (garden pea). RNAcentral's name for it is "Pisum sativum (pea) long non-coding RNA (PSAT_LNC014754)". Lineage: Eukaryota; Viridiplantae; Streptophyta; Magnoliopsida; Fabales; Fabaceae. The record is from RNAcentral.